RNAcentral lists this ribosomal RNA (298 nucleotides) under uncultured bacterium. RNAcentral describes it as "partial 16S ribosomal RNA". It matches the Rfam family "Bacterial small subunit ribosomal RNA", at positions 334 to 631 of the family's 1533-position model. The record is from RNAcentral.
GAUACCUAGGGGGGCAGCAGUGAGGAAUAUUGGUCAAUGGUCGGGAGACUGAACCAGCCAAGCCGCGUGAGGGAUGAAGGUACAGAGUAUCGUAAACCUCUUUUGUCAGGGAACAAAGGCGGGGACGUGUCCCCGGAUGAGUGUACCUGAAGAAAAAGCAUCAGCUAACUCCGUGCCAGCAGCCGCGGUAAUACGGAGGAUGCGAGCGUUAUCCGGAUUUAUUGGGUUUAAAGGGUGCGCAGGCGGUCUGUUAAGUCAGCGGUCAAAUCCCGGGGCUCAACCCCCGCCCGCCGUUGAA